This 647-nucleotide ribosomal RNA is filed under the name Chlamydia psittaci. Its description in RNAcentral is "bacterial LSU rRNA". It matches the Rfam family "Bacterial large subunit ribosomal RNA", at positions 1089 to 1737 of the family's 2925-position model. Lineage: Bacteria; Pseudomonadati; Chlamydiota; Chlamydiia; Chlamydiales; Chlamydiaceae. The record is from RNAcentral.
ACAGUUGGAAUGUUGGCUUAGAGGCAGCAAUCAUUUAAAGAGUGCGUAACAGCUCACCAAUCGAGAAUCAUUGCGCCAAUAAUAAUCGGGGCUCAAGCAUAAAACCGAAAUCGCGGGUGUAUAUUUAUAUAUACGCGGUAGGAGAGCGUAGUAUUCAGCAGUGAAGGUAUACCGUAAGGAGUGCUGGAGCGGAUACUAGUGAAGAUCCAUGGCAUAAGUAACGAUAAAGGAAGUGAAAAUCUUCCUCGCCGUAAGCACAAGGUUUCCAGGGUCAAGCUCGUCUUCCCUGGGUUAGUCGGCCCCUAAGUCGAGGCACAAAUGCGUAGACGAUGGAGCAACAGGUUAAAUAUUCCUGUACCACCUAAAACUUUAGCAAUGGAAUGACGGAGUACGUUAAGCACGCGGACGAUUGGAAAUGUCCGUAUCACAAUGAGACCGGUUAGUAGGCAAAUCCGCUAACAUAAGGUUAGGUUGUGGUUAAGGGAAAUCUUCGGAGGAACUGAUAGUGUGGCGCAAGGCUUUCAAGAAAUAAUUUCUAGCUGUUGAUGGUGACCGUACCUAAACCGACACAGGUGUGCGAGAUGAGUAUUCUAAGGCGCGCGAGAUAACUUUCGUUAAGGAACUCGGCAAAUUAUCCCCGUAACUUC